CUACGGGGGGCAGCAGUGAGGAAUAUUGCACAAUGGGGGGAACCCUGAUGCAGCAACGCCGCGUGGAGGAUGACGCAUUUCGGUGUGUAAACUCCUUUUAUAUGUCAAGAAAAUGACGGUAGCAUAUGAAUAAGCACCGGCUAACUCCGUGCCAGCAGCCGCGGUAAUACGGAGGGUGCAAACGUUACUCGGAAUCACUGGGCGUAAAGGACGCGUAGGCGGGUUGGAAAGUCAGGUGUGAAAUCCUACAGCUUAACUGUAGAACUGCACUUGAAACUUCUAAUCUAGAGUAUGGGAGGGGGAGAUGGAAUUAGGGGUGUAGGGGUAAAAUCCGUAGAUAUCACUAGGAAUACCUAAAGCGAAGGCGAUCUCCUGGAACAUUACUGACGCUAAGGCGUGAAAGCGUGGGGAGCAAACAGGAUUAGAUACCCGCGUAGUC
RNAcentral lists this ribosomal RNA (439 nucleotides) under uncultured bacterium. RNAcentral describes it as "partial 16S ribosomal RNA". It matches the Rfam family "Bacterial small subunit ribosomal RNA", at positions 339 to 795 of the family's 1533-position model. The record is from RNAcentral.